RNAcentral lists this ribosomal RNA (3066 nucleotides) under Triticum aestivum (bread wheat). Its description in RNAcentral is "partial small subunit ribosomal RNA". Lineage: Eukaryota; Viridiplantae; Streptophyta; Magnoliopsida; Poales; Poaceae. The record is from RNAcentral.
AUGGUUGGUACGGAGAUGCUCGCGGCCGCGGCUGUGAGCCAGGUCGCCCGCAAGAUCGGCGAAAUCAUCGGCGCCGCGCAGGGCGAGGUCACGCUGUGCUGCAGUUUCAGCGACGACCUGGAGAGCAUAAAGGACACUCUGGUGUACCUAGAAGACCUGCUGAAAAAUGCGGAGAGGAACUCCUUCGGAAGCGAGAGGGCAAAUCUGCGGCACUGGCUCGCCCAGAUCAAGUCCCUGGCCUUCGACAUCGAAGACAUGGUUGACGACUACUACUCUUCCAAGGAGCAGUUUGAAGGGAGCAGCAGCUAUGCUCAGAAGGGAUCAUUGUUCUGCUCACUUUCCAAUCCCGUGAUUUCGAAAGUUAGCAUGGUUCAUAAGAUGAAAUCCAAGAGAGAGUUGUUGCAGACAAGGCAACACUUGCCUAAUCAAUAUCAUUUCAUUUCACAUAUUAACUCAGUGGUGGAUUUUGAUGAGAAGCAGACAACAUCAUACAGAAAUAGUGACAUUACUCUUUUUGGGAGAGAUAGAGACUUAGAAAAUCUCAUGGACAUGAUAAUGCAGAAAAGUGUCAGUGAGAUUUCCAUUAUUUCUAUAGUAGGGCCCAUGGGUCUCGGGAAAACAAGCCUUGCGCAGCUAGUUUUCAAUGAUGCCAGAACAAAGGCAUUCAGCUUCAGGAUAUGGGUUCAUGUUUCCAUGGGUAAUGUCAGCCUUGAAAAAAUCGGGAGGGAUAUAGUUUCACAAACUACCGAAAGGAUUGAGGGAAAUAUGCAAUUACAAUCAAUUAAGAAUGAUGUUCAAACCAUACUUAAUAAGUAUAGCUGCUUAAUAGUAUUAGACAGCUUGUGGGGUAAAGAUGAAGAAGUGAAUGAGCUGAAGCAGAUGUUGCUCACUGGUAUACAGACAGAAAGCAAGAUUGUAGUGACCACCCAUAGCUAUAAAGUUGCUGAGUUGGUGUCUACUGUUCCGCCUUACAAGUUGUCUGCAUUAUCUGAAGAUGACUGUUUAAAUAUAUUUUCACAAAGGGCAAUGGCUGGGCGUGGUGACCCACUGUUCAGGGAAUACGGAGAAGAAAUUGUUAGAAGGUGUGGCGGCACACCCUUGGUUGCUAACUUUCUUGGAUCUGUUGUGAAUGCUCAACGACAGAGGCGUGAGAUUUGGAAAGCUGCCAAGGAUAAAGAAAUGUGGAAGCUAGAGGAAGAUUAUCCUGAAGACAAAAUUUCACCACUAUUUCCAUCUUUCAAGAUAAUAUAUUAUAAUAUGCCUCACGAGCUAAGAUUAUGCUUUGUAUACUGUUCAAUCUUCCCUAAAGGAUCUGUUAUAGACAAGAAAAAACUUAUUCAGCAAUGGAUUGCACUUGACAUGAUUGAGUCCAGACAUGGAACCUUACCUCUGGAUGUAACUGCUGAGAAGUAUAUUGACGAACUCAAAGCAAUAUAUUUCCUUCAAGUUAUAGAAACGCAUCAAACUGCUGGAGAAAUAUUCAAUGCAUCAGAGGAAAUGCUCUGCAUGCAUGAUUUAGCACAUGAUCUUGCUAGGUCAGUUGCUGGUGAAGAUAUCCUUGUGAUUUUGGACGCGGAGAAUGAACGCCAUAAUAGAUUUUGUGAUUACCGUUACGCACAGGUGUCAGCUUCUAGCUUACAGUCAAUAGACAGCAAGGCUUGGCCUUCUAAGGCAAGGUCACUCAUUUUCAAGACUAGUGGUACAGAAUUGGAAGAUGUCAGCGAAGUUUUUUCAGUGAACAAGUAUCUGCGCGUUCUAGAUCUUAGUGAAUGUUCUGUUAAUGAGAUACCUGCUUCUGUUUUUCAGCUGAAGCAACUGCGGUACCUUGAUGCUUCCACUUUGUCCAUUACAACACUCCCUCCUCAGUUUAGUAGCUUUAAUAAGCUACAAGCGUUGGAUCUUUCAGAAACUGAACUUAUGGAAUUGCCAUCCUUCCUCAGCAACUUAAAGGGCCUGAAUUAUUUGAAUCUCCAAGGUUGCCAGAAACUUCAGGAAUUGAAAAGCCUUGAUUUGCUGCAUGAUUUACAUUACCUAAACUUGUCAUGCUGUCCUGAAGUUAGAAGCUUCCCUGAAUCUAUUGAAAACCUCACCAAACUUCGUUUCUUGAACCUCUCACGGUGUUCUAAGCUUCCGACGUUACCUAAUAGACUACUGCAAUCAUUUGCUAGCCUUUGUUCUCUUGUAGAUCUUAACUUAAGUGGUUUUGAGUUCCAAAUGCUGCCUGAGAUUUUUGGCAACAUUUGUUCACUUCAAUAUCUGAAUCUAUCAGAAUGUUCUAAACUUGAGGAGCUCCCCCAAUCAUUUGGCCAGCUGGCAUAUUUGAAAGCCCUAAAUCUUUCAUCUUGUCCUGAUCUUAAAAUUCUCGGUUCCUUUGAAUGCCUUACUUCUCUUCAGUUUCUGAAUCUCUCAAACUGCACUAGUCUUGAAUAUCUGCCACUGUGCCUUAAAAAGCUCCAAAAUCUUGAUGUUUCUGGCUGCCAGGAUGGUAUAGUACAAUCCUGUUCUAGCAGCUCUGGAAGUUCCCCAUCUCACCAAUUUUCAGAGCAAGCUGAGCAGGUCAGAUUAAGUAUUGUUAUCUCAGAGAUCAUUCCGGAGGCGCCUGUGAUUGGAGAUCUGAAAGGAAAGAAGAAAUUAGCAUCUGCUUCAGGCUUGGAUGUAGUGCCUGAAGUUGUUACUAAGCUAAAUGAAACUGAAGACACACCACUUAUUCCAGGGCGCCCGUUCUCAUUGUCUUCAUCUCAUUCUUCGUCCUUUGCUUCAAGCUCAAGGGCACCGUUGGCAUAUGUCUCAUCUUCGGAUGUUUCAAAGAACAAUAAUUUGGUGCCGAAUGGAGAGAUAACAGGUACUCAAUCCAACGAAAAAUGCCAAGAGCCUCAGGACCUCGUAAAAGAUGCUCUGAUUACUGAAGAAAACAUAUGCUCAUUGGACACACCGGUUCAUGUGCAUGAAGUGGCCACCGUAGAAGGCGACGCUGACGGCCACGUAAUCAAAUAUAAUGGAGUAUAUCAGCACAGCGUACUAUGUGACAGGCCAAAUCAAGGGGUUGUCGUACAGCAGUCCAACUGA